This 74-nucleotide transfer RNA is filed under the name hydrothermal vent metagenome. RNAcentral describes it as "tRNA-Pro-CGG". It matches the Rfam family "tRNA". Rfam says of the family: Transfer RNA (tRNA) molecules are approximately 80 nucleotides in length. Their secondary structure includes four short double-helical elements and three loops (D, anti-codon, and T loops). The record is from RNAcentral.
CGGGCUGUGGUAUAGUGGUAUUACGUACGCUUCGGGUGCGUAUAACCCGAGUUCGAUUCUCGGCAGCCCGACAA